Long non-coding RNA from Mauremys mutica (yellowpond turtle), 1455 nucleotides. RefSeq lists it as uncharacterized. Lineage: Eukaryota; Metazoa; Chordata; Testudines; Geoemydidae. The transcript is spliced from 5 exons. The record is from RefSeq and is a predicted model, not a curated record.
UCAAUUUUAUUGGCUCACAUGACUGGCUGGUUCUGGAGAUGAUCUGCUGUUGACUUCUCUUUCCAAUAAGCUCUAGAUCAACAUUUAGAUUUCUCUAUGCUGGAUUUGGCUGGUUAGUAACUGUGAGUAAAGCCAUUCUAAAAAAAUCCAGCAGGACUAGAAAUCUAGAAACAUUAGACUCCAUAUCUUGUGGUAGAGUUGUGAGGCACAAGGUCAAAGAACAAUUUCCUUCAGCACUCAAGAACUGAAUGAGGUCAGUUUCAGCCCAUACAUAGUAUGCCUUUCGUGAGUUUCCCCAUGCUCCAGAGAGUAAAGAGGGAUGAAUUCUUUGAACAAGCUGGAAAGUACAUUUUAGGUGCUGUGAUUGCUGCAUGCAUUUUUUGGGGCUUGAUGUAUGCUUUACUCAUGUGGUUCUAUAGAUGGAAGUGUGAAAAAGAAAAGAAAAAGAAGGAUGGAAGCUGCGGGAGCUGAGUAACAGUUUAUGGUUUCCUCAAAAAAACCCAAACAACCAACAACUUUUUCCUUGAAUUAUGAUGAGCCAAAGCCAGUAAUUUAGUUACACUGUGAAUAAACAGUGCAAAUCUAGUGCUAGUUGAGUGUGGCAGUGUUGCCAUCCCAGUUUGCUCCCUCUUGCAGGGGCUAGAUCUGUGCUCACGUUCUCCACCAACUUGUGGCAGGGCUGGUCUCUGCAGCACCCCCCUCAUGGCCCACCAUGCCAUUGUUCACCCUGCCUCAGUUUUCCCCACAUGGGAGACAUUACUGCAUAGGAGAGUUUAUCAGCACCACUCAACAAGGUACAGGUAACAAACUUGGACAAUAGUACCAAGAACAACACAAACAAAAGGGGUUUCUGCUCCUUCUGGAUUCAGCUGUCGGUUCUUUCCCACUCUCUUACAGAACACUGACUCUCAGGGCUUUUCCCCUGUAGUGGUCUCCCUUCUUCCAGGGCCAGUCACAGGAGUGAGUAAGCAAGCAAGCAAGCUUUCCUCUGUCCUCCUCCAGGCUACCUGCCUGGCAGUUACCCUUCUCAAGGGCCUACAAGAAGAGCUAACCAACCUUCUGCAGCAUCUCCACCUCCUGAGUUCAUAGCAAUUUGUAGCUAUCCCCUGACCCCUUCCUAAUUGGGUCUAAUGAUUAAACAGGGCCAUCUGAUCCCUAGCUGAUCAGGAUCAACUGGAAAGGUAGCUGAUCUAUCAUCGGUGGGGCGGGGCCCAACUCCCAUUAAAGGGCCAGCCAGCCUGUAACACAGAUGUUCAGAACUUUAGUUUGGGUAGACCUCAACCCAUCCCUACUCCUGUGCUUUUAGGCCAACUCCUUCUCUCCACCAGUGCACAGCAGCCAGCCACGUAUUCAGGAGAAGUAUAGAGAGAUCUUCAAUCAUAUGUAUGAAAGCUAUGUUCAGUGACACUGAGAAGUGUGGUCCACUGAGGAAAGUCAAUAGAUGGAAGAGACAGA